GUCGGUGGUUAUAGUGGCGGGGAAACGCCCGGUCCCAUUCCGAACCCGGAAGCUAAGCCCGCCAACGCUGAUGGUACUGCACUCGGGAGGGUGUGGGAGAGUAAGUCACCGCCGACA
This is a ribosomal RNA of Corynebacterium frankenforstense DSM 45800, 117 nucleotides long. Lineage: Bacteria; Bacillati; Actinomycetota; Actinomycetes; Mycobacteriales; Corynebacteriaceae. The record is from Rfam.